UACGAAGGGUGCUAGCGUUGUUCGGAAUUACUGGGCGUAAAGCGCGCGUAGGCGGCUUGUCAAGUCAGGGGUGAAAUCCCGGAGCUCAACUUCGGAACUGCCCUUGAUACAGCACGUCUUGAGUACUAAAGAGGGUCGCGGAAUUCCCGGUGUAGAGGUGAAAUUCGUAGAUAUUGGGAAGAACACCGGUGGCGAAGGCGGCGACCUGGUCCAUUACUGACGCUGAGGCGCGACAGCGUGGGGAGCAAACAGG
This 253-nucleotide ribosomal RNA is filed under the name uncultured bacterium. Its description in RNAcentral is "partial 16S ribosomal RNA". It matches the Rfam family "Bacterial small subunit ribosomal RNA", at positions 524 to 776 of the family's 1533-position model. The record is from RNAcentral.